RNAcentral lists this ribosomal RNA (429 nucleotides) under Bacteroidota bacterium. RNAcentral describes it as "Bacteroidetes bacterium partial 16S ribosomal RNA". It matches the Rfam family "Bacterial small subunit ribosomal RNA", at positions 355 to 776 of the family's 1533-position model. The record is from RNAcentral. Lineage: Bacteria; Pseudomonadati; Bacteroidota.
UAGGGAAUCUUCCGCAAUGGACGCAAGUCUGACGGAGCAACGCCGCGUGAGUGAAGAAGGAUUUCGGUUCGUAAAACUCUGUUGUUAGAGAAGAACAGCGCAUAGAGUAACUGUUAUGCGUGUGACGGUAUCUAACCAGAAAGCCACGGCUAACUACGUGCCAGCAGCCGCGGUAAUACGUAGGUGGCAAGCGUUGACCGGAUUUAUUGGGCGUAAAGCGAGCGCAGGCGGUCAAUUAAGUCUGAUGUGAAAGCCCCCGGCUCAACCGGGGAGGGUCAUUUGAAACUGGUUGACUUGAGUGCAGAAGAGGAGAGUGGAAUUCCAUGUGUAGCGGUGAAAUGCGUAGAUAUAUGGAGGAACACCAGUGGCGAAGGCGACUCUCUGGUCUGUAACUGACGCUGAGGCUCGAAAGCGUGGGUAGCAAACAGG